AUUGAACGCUGGCGGCAGGCCUAACACAUGCAAGUCGAACGAGUGGCGGACGGGUGAGUAAUGUCUGGGAAACUACCCGAUGGAGGGGGAUAACUACUGGAAACGGUAGCUAAUACCGCAUACCAUCGGAUGUGCCCAGAUGGUAUUAGCUUGUAGGUGAGGUAACGGCUCACCUAGGCGACGAUCCCUAGCUGGUCUGGGCGGAUGACCAGCCACACUGGAAGUGAGACACGGGCCAGACUCCUACGCGAGGAAGCAGUGGGGAAUAUGGCACAAUGGGCGCAAGCCUGAUGCAGCCAUGCCGGGUGUAGGAAGAAGGCCUUCGGGUUGUAAAUUACUUUCAGCGGGGAGGCGUUACCCGCAGAAGAAGCACCGGCUAACUCCGUGCCAGCAGCCGCGGUAAUAC
Molecule: ribosomal RNA, 406 nt
Filed under: uncultured bacterium
Lineage: Bacteria
Description: partial 16S ribosomal RNA
Rfam family: Bacterial small subunit ribosomal RNA
Source: RNAcentral